GCCUGCGGUACUAUCUGCAGUCGAGCGGACAGAUGGGAGCUUGCUCCCUGAUGUUAGCGGCGGACGGGUGAGUAACACGUGGGUAACCUGCCUGUAAGACUGGGAUAACUCCGGGAAACCGGGGCUAAUACCGGAUGCUUGUUUGAACCGCAUGGUUCAGACAUAAAAGGUGGCUUCGGCUACCACUUACAGAUGGACCCGCGGCGCAUUAGCUAGUUGGUGAGGUAACGGCUCACCAAGGCAACGAUGCGUAGCCGACCUGAGAGGGUGAUCGGCCACACUGGGACUGAGACACGGCCCAGACUCCUACGGGAGGCAGCAGUAGGGAAUCUUCCGCAAUGGACGAAAGUCUGACGGAGCAACGCCGCGUGAGUGAUGAAGGUUUUCGGAUC
This 392-nucleotide ribosomal RNA is filed under the name Bacillus sp. SV81. Its description in RNAcentral is "bacterial SSU rRNA". It matches the Rfam family "Bacterial small subunit ribosomal RNA", at positions 42 to 424 of the family's 1533-position model. Lineage: Bacteria; Bacillati; Bacillota; Bacilli; Caryophanales; Bacillaceae. The record is from RNAcentral.